UACGUAGGGUGCGAGCGUUGUCCGGAAUUAUUGGGCGUAAAGAGCUUGUAGGCGGUCUGUCGCGUCUGCUGUGAAAAUCCGGGGCUCAACCCCGGACUUGCAGUGGGUACGGGCAGACUAGAGUGUGGUAGGGGAGACUGGAAUUCCUGGUGUAGCGGUGAAAUGCGCAGAUAUCAGGAGGAACACCUAUGGCGAAGGCAGGUCUCUGGGCCACUACUGACGCUGAGAAGCGAAAGCAUGGGGAGCGAACAGG
RNAcentral lists this ribosomal RNA (253 nucleotides) under uncultured bacterium. RNAcentral describes it as "partial 16S ribosomal RNA". It matches the Rfam family "Bacterial small subunit ribosomal RNA", at positions 524 to 776 of the family's 1533-position model. The record is from RNAcentral.